This 482-nucleotide ribosomal RNA is filed under the name uncultured bacterium. RNAcentral's name for it is "partial 16S ribosomal RNA". It matches the Rfam family "Bacterial small subunit ribosomal RNA", at positions 30 to 507 of the family's 1533-position model. The record is from RNAcentral.
AUUGAACGCUGGCGGCAUGCUUUACACAUGCCAGUCGAACGGCAGCGCGGGGCAACCUGGCGGCGAGUGGCGAACGGGUGAGUAAUAUAUCGGAACGUACCCAAGAGUGGGGGAUAACGUAGCGAAAGUUACGCUAAUACCGCAUACGAUCUAAGGAUGAAAGUGGGGGAUCGCAAGACCUCAUGCUCCUGGAGCGGCCGAUAUCUGAUUAGCUAGUUGGUGAGGUAAAGGCUCACCAAGGCGACGAUCAGUAGCUGGUCUGAGAGGACGACCAGCCACACUGGAACUGAGACACGGUCCAGACUCCUACGGGAGGCAGCAGUGGGGAAUUUUGGACAAUGGGCGCAAGCCUGAUCCAGCAAUGCCGCGUGAGUGAAGAAGGCCUUCGGGUUGUAAAGCUCUUUUGUCAGGGAAGAAACGGUAGAGGCUAAUAUCCUGUGCUAAUGACGGUACCUGAAGAAUAAGCACCGGCUAACUACGUG